UCCAAAAGUAUAAAACAAAAGGAUUCUUCAAGCAUCUCACUGAAACUCCUCCUGAUCUGUGCACAAAACAGGAAUCCAAGAUGUGGGACUGCAGAGACUUUUUUGGGAUCAGAAAGAAAUUCGUCUAAUUCCAGAACAGAGAGUGUGUGGCACAUUUAUCUUCCUAAAAGCUUUUCCUGGAACUCUAAAUGGAUAUCAUUCUUCGCCCCCUUACCGGCUGGCUGGCAACCUGUUGUGCUCCACAGGCGUUUGUGAUUCAAGGGGAAGGAAGUUGGAGGCCAUGACAGAGUCGACUGUUUUAUGAAACACUAUUUCAGGAACACAGUUUAAGAGAAAAUUCACAUCACCAAAUUGGUAUUUAAGAAGAAAGUUUAACAAUGAGCCUCUGAGUCUGUUCCAUCGAGCUAUUGGAGGCAAAAGAGUGGCUUCUCUCAGUUACCUGAAAAAUUUCAUCUCAUCCUCGCUAAGUAAAAACUGAAGUAUUUCCCUCGAACAGAGAUUGUUUACCCAAGCAGUGAGAACCACAUAAAUUAGGACGAGAUGCCAGAAGUAGCAGCUCUGGGGUGGCCAUGAGCACCCUUUCUCAAGGCUCCAGCUCCAAUGACUGACCUAGUUGCUUUGUCCAACAUGAAAGGAUGAGGCUGCAGACCUGAGUCACUGUGUAACACAGGUGCUGGAUGAAGCAAUAAUUAAAUGUAGAUGUCACACAUGCCAGAUUAUUCUGCAGUCCAGCCCUAAUGGGGGCUUACAGACACCUAUUUAUGAAUAGUCCACCCUGUUAUUGCGUGCAAAGCAGAGAAUGCAACUGA
This is a long non-coding RNA of Talpa occidentalis (Iberian mole), 809 nucleotides long. RefSeq lists it as uncharacterized. The record is from RefSeq and is a predicted model, not a curated record. NCBI's taxonomy places the organism in Eukaryota, Metazoa, Chordata, Mammalia, Eulipotyphla, Talpidae. The transcript has 3 exons.